UUGACCUCAAAUCAGGUAAGACUACCCGCUGAACUUAAGCAUAUCAGUAAGCGGAGGAAAAGAAACUAACAAGGAUUCCCCUAGUAACUGCGAGUGAAGCGGGAAAAGCUCAAAUUUAAAAUCUGGCAGUCUUUGACUGUCCGAGUUGUAAUUUAGAGAAGUGAUACCAGCGCUGGACUGUGUACAAGUCUCCUGGAAUGGAGCGUCAUAGAGGGUGAGAAUCCCGUAUAUGACACAGUUGCCAGGGCACAAUGGUACGCUCUCAAAGAGUCGAGUUGUUUGGGAAUGCAGCUCAAAAUGGGUGGUAAAUUCCAUCUAAAGCUAAAUACAGGCGAGAGACCGAUAGCGAACAAGUACCGUGAGGGAAAGAUGAAAAGAACUUUGGAAAGAGAGUUAAACAGUACGUGAAAUUGUUGAAAGGGAAACGCUUGAAGUCAGUCAUGUUGCUGGAAAUCACACUUGCUUUUUGCUUGUGGCUCUUUCCUUUGCAAUGGGUCAGCAUCAGUUUUGGUUGUUGGAUAAGAGUCAGAGGAAGGUGGCAUCCUUGGAUGUGUUAUAGCCUCUGAUUGCAUGCAAUGACGGAGACUGAGG
Molecule: ribosomal RNA, 591 nt
Filed under: Tricholomopsis decora
Lineage: Eukaryota; Fungi; Basidiomycota; Agaricomycetes; Agaricales
Description: eukaryotic LSU rRNA
Rfam family: Eukaryotic large subunit ribosomal RNA
Source: RNAcentral